CCGAUACCUAACAUAAACAAAGGAGGAAUAACAACAAGCAAGGGAGGAGCCGUUUCAAAGACAAACACCGCCUACUACUACUACUACACUCACGUGGACAGGCUGAGGUAAAAUUUAAAACUAUGAAAUCGUCCUGUCUCUGAAGAGCACUACUGCUGACCAUUUCUGCAAGCGCAAAAUCAUCACCAAGAAGAAUAAACGUGCUUUGGAAGACAAUUUCUUGCGACCUCUUAUGGUGGAAGUGAUGCAACCUCUUAUGCUGGAAGUGAUGCGACCUCUUGUGAUGACAAUGACGAAAUUGGAAAGUAGGGUGCAAGAUCAGCAGAAUUCACUAGAAAUAAUGAUAGGUACCAUCGAACAUUUGAAACAAACUCAGGCUGCUGCACCAUUGGACCUGAUUUAUCCCUGCUGGACGGAUUGCUACCAAUACAAAGAUAUGUAGACUUUGAGGACUUUGAACAACAGAUAAAUGGGGACAGUGCCCUUAGAAAGUCACUGGUACAUCGACUCCAGAUUCUUGGGGGAGCAACCAUCUAAGCAGCAGUCAAAAUCAUGAUUGACUUCUGCAUGACAAGUGGACUCCAGUAUGAGUUCAACUGGGAAGGUCGUCUUGGCUGGAAGACUAAAACAAAUACAUGCAAGAAAGGGUUUGAGAACACGACAUUGUGUGGAAUUAUAAUAAAUAUUCUGGUGAACAAGACACAAUUAUCAACUGAUGAAACUGAAGUAGGGAAAACUGUGAUGAUUUAUCUAAAAAAAUGCAUGUGACAGAUACGUGGGAAGGAAAAGACCAAAAGACUUGCAUAGUCAGCAAAGUCAAGAUGAGAGUCCCAAUUCAUCUCAACCUAAUUCUGGUGGGGAUCCUGAAGGAAUAUAAUAUAGAGCACUUCUGCUGACUGUUGUCAAGGAAAUUAUAAAUAUUCAUGUAAUUUGUUUAUCACUCAAAUUUAUCUUAUUAUUGUCAGUCUCUUUUGAUUAGAUUUUUAUAAUAUUUAAAUGAAUAAUUUUUAUAUUUAAAUGAAUAAUUUGAUGUAGAGAAGUAUCAUUCUUUUAUCUAGUACAUACAGUGCUGUACUUAAUGAAUGGCAAUUUGUGUUCCUGCACUACUUUUUUUUUUUUUUUUAAAUUAAAUGGAUGUACCAUCUUGCACGAAGUCACAACAAACAUUAGACAGAAAUCCAUGAAUAUUUAUAAUUUCCUUUACUACAUCAUCAGCUAGCUUUUCUAAAAUAUUGUAUAUAGAAAUCAGAUAUAUUAAACAAUUAAGGAGAGUUUAUGUAGUAUGUAGUGAGAUAUAGAGAAUGCAGUAUAUAUAUGGUACUAGUUACUGCAACUGUUUUGUUAACAAUUUUUUGCCUUCUAAUAAAAUUUUAAUUGUGACUAUGUAUUUUGAUGUUAAACACCAGUAUAAUGGAAUCCCAUUUUUUUAUGUGUUGAUGCAUUUAUUGAAAUUAUUGUUUACAUGACAGCCACAAUACUUGAUCACAGAACAGUUUUUAAAAAGAGUAUGGAUUUGUUUCUAUUGACUGAUAAAUGUUUGCAUAAAAGUGUUUAAAUUAUUUUCAAAAAUAAUUUUGUCAAUACCUAAUUGCCACAUCACCCUAUACUACUUUAUCAAAAUAAAUUUAGAUGAAUAUUGCAACAUACAGAUACAUAAGGGUAUACUUUUUGUCCGGAAGAAUAUGAAAGAAAUGUUUUAUAUCUGUGUACAUCACCCUGUUGUAGCUAAAGUUUGAAAAUAAACUAUACAAUGUUUUAUGCAUGUAACUAUAGUGCUGAUAAAAGGUAAAGUAAGGAGAUCGAGCUUCUAACAUUU
Long non-coding RNA from Macrobrachium nipponense, 1816 nucleotides. RefSeq lists it as uncharacterized. The transcript is spliced from 4 exons. NCBI's taxonomy places the organism in Eukaryota, Metazoa, Arthropoda, Malacostraca, Decapoda, Palaemonidae. The record is from RefSeq and is a predicted model, not a curated record.